CACGGGUCCACACCAAUAGCAGGUACAUCAGUGGGCGCAGACAGUGAACCAUGGCCUGGAAACCCUGGGGAGCCCACUCUUACGUCUGACCCCUUGUUUCUGGAUGAACAGAAUAGCAAUCCCACUCUGCAAGGAUUGCUGGAGUGUCUAGCCUGGGAGGACCGGAUGGUGGUAGACCCCUGGCUUCCUCACUUAGAGAAGUAGGGUGGGGGGCUGCUGGAGGAUUACCCGGGGUUCUUGCCAGGGACCCAACGUAAAACAGGCCCUGGUACCAAUGGCUUAUCACCAUAAGAUCCUGGAGUACACCCACGAUUACCACGAAAGUGGAACAAAAAACUGGACACCCCCUGUUGUGAUGGCAGGUGCACAGCAGAUUGCCCAAGCUGCUAGUGAUUUCAAGCUCUUUGUAGAUUUUGAGAGAGCACCAGGAAUCCCGUGUACAGCACAUGAUGGACUAUACAAGGAAGUACCAGUUGGAGUCCCCAAUGAAAGGCACAGGGAAGGACACUGGUUCAUGGAAGUGGGGAUACUUAUAUCCCAAAACAUGGCUUGGGGGCAAAUUCCUGCUGCCCUGUUUGUCUGAUUAGAAGUGCCAGGGUGGAUCUGCACAGAAUGCAUUGUGUCUGAUUGCUCUUUCCUGGGUGUAACAAUGUGGGGAUCGCCAUCUGUAUGCAAGGCUGAUUGUGAUGAAAAUCAGAGUAUGCGGGUGCACAAAAGAGUAUCCGUGCCUAGAUGGGCUCUCUAGGAAUCCUAUCAAUAAUGUCAAUAGAUACACCUCUAGAUUUUGCUUUACCACAUCUAUACCAGCCGUUUGUUGCCACUGAAUGUCUUUUUCUUUUGGAAAAGUAGGAGAAAAUGGUAAAAUAAAAGGAAUAACUAUUGUAAAAGCCAGCCGAUCGCAGCCGCUCUAGGCUGCGCGGCUUGUUUGCCCUCAGCCCCACCCCCUGGAGCACGUGGCACUGGGAGCUAGCUCCCAUUGGCCCGGCUCCGUCUCGGAGGCGGGGCUAGCAGCAGUGAACCGGCAGCAGGCCUGUGCCGGCUCAGUCCUUCCCUGACCGAGCAGAAGGAAGGACGUGCUGCUGCUCGGCUUUGGGGCCUCCACGUGGCCGGCUGGGUACCCGAAGCGGAAGCCGGAGCAGGAGGCCCACGGGAGCGGAACGUCGGGGAGCAGUGCAGCGGCCCUUCGAGCGAGCAGCGGAUUGGAGCGGCUCGGCGGCCAGGGCCUCUGUAGCCCGGCCGCCUGUGGUAACGGGCUCUGGGGGGAUCACAGGAGAGGCUUUUAAGUCCUCCUCGGAACGGCCUUUGAUCUUCAGGCCUCUCCACACAAGGGCUUCUAGGCCCCGGCAGGCCCAAGCUGCCCGGCAUCGAGUGAGGGCAGCAGGCCGCCCCAGGCCCUCAGUAGGCCACGCCAGGCCUUCAGCGGGGGGGCAAUUGACUAACCCGGUCAUCUGGGGGGAGGGUUGAUUGGACGUUGGGGGUGUUGGCUUGAACUGUGUGAACCCCUUCAACCCAGGGCCCGUUUAGGCCUUCUGCUAAGGGCGGCCUUUGCCUUUAUUGUCGGGCCUGUAGGGCUUAACCCUCCACACACACCCAUUUUGGGGGCCUGCAUUGACUAGGCCUCCCUGGUGGGCUCGUGGGCCUCCCCUGCCGGGCCUAAGCUCCAUUUGGGGGCCUUUCAGUGGGGCUGGGCCUUACCACGGCUAGGUGGGGCAGGCGCUGUGACUCAUAGGCCUUCCUUGCCAGCGUAGGCCUCAGUCAGGCCUUGCGCCGGCCAGGUCACUCGUUUACGCACUUGAGGGCAGGGUACAGGCCCAUAAGCUUCAUCCUUUGGGACAUGGGCCCUAAGAAAGCCCCAGUUAAGAAAGCCCCAGUUAAAAAGGGUGGGAAGGCUCCAGCCAAGAAGGGUGGCAAGCCAACGCGGCCACCUAAGAGGCCAAACGCACCCGCCGAAUCCUCCGACGAUGAGGGCGAUUUGGAACUGGGCGCCAUCAGGGCGUUUAUAGCACGGCUGCAGGCCCUUGAGAGGCAGCGCACCACUCUAGAGGGCGACGAGGCGGGCGGGGGGCCUUCGGGGGUGCCCCCACAUGCAAAAAAGUCAAACAGGGCGGAAAAGAAGGCAAAACUAAUGCAGGGCUUUGCUGACCGUCUAGCAGCUUUGGAGGCGGCGGCGGGAACUGCCCACGAGGAACCAGCGGGGAUCACGACACAACCGGCGGACUCAGGACCAGGAGACGGCAGGGACGACAAUGGUGAGUCCCCACAGGGGGCCUGGCCGUGGGGACUGCCCUUUAGCACCCCCUACGGACCAUACGGGUGGUUCCCAGGGCCAGUUAACUGGGCAUCUCCACACGCCACCUGUAAUCAGGUCUGGCAAGGGGGGAGCGCUGCUUUGCCCACCCAGGGGCCAACGGCACAGUUCAGCUCUGCUUGGCAUACUGGGGAUGGGCCCGUACCCUUGGGGGACCACCUCCUUCCAGCAGUUAAGGAACGGAUUUGGAAAGGAGAGUGCAUUGACGUGUUCCAAUUGCUCUUCAAGGAGCCGGAGCCACUGGAGAAGGAGGGGUCCCAGGGGAAGGACAAGGAGAGGACAAAGCGGAAGCCCAUUGAGCAUAAUUGGGCAAAUUGGGUUUCGGGGUACACAAUCUACAUGGGUGUUCUGAUGCAGAAAUAUCCAGAGCGGGGCCCCGCUCUCGUUAAGUAUUUUGAUAUUAUACACAGAGCCUUCAUGGACUUUGCUGGUAAUGCCUGGGAGCGCUACGACCAAGCGUUCCGCGAGCGCGCCUCCAGCAAUGCGGGUAUAUCCUGGGAAAGGCAGCACCCCGAGUUAUGGCUUCAGAUUAUGACACCCGCGAGGCCCUUGGUUGGCGAGCGCGCCGACAGCGGGCACCUCAUUUCCAAAACACCGGCAGCGUCAGCGGCUUCGGCCUCAGGCGCACAGGGGGUUCAGGGUCCCCUGGUGUGCUGGGAAUUUAACAAGAACGGGAAGUGUGCCCGCUCCCCGUGCAAGUACCGGCAUGACUGUGGCUUCUGCGGUGGGCGGCACACCAGUAUCUACUGCCAGCGGGCCAAAGCCCUUAGGGGAAAAGGGGGAUACCAAGGCCCGGGAGGGGCAAAGGGCCCAGCAGCCACGGCUGGAAAAGGGCCCCAGCCCAAUUAAAAUCCCGGUGCUCCGGAGGCUGCUGCGUGACUACCCCAACAGGGAGCGCGCACGCUAUAUUGAGGACGGUUUUGUGAAGGGGUUUAGGAUUCCGUGCCAAUCCAGGCGGGUCCAUAGUUUUGCACGCAACCUAAAAUCGGUUAGGGGGAUGGAACACAUAGUAGCGAAAAAGAUAGCCAAGGAGGUGUCUCUGGGGAGGGUGCUGGGCCCCUUCGACAGGCUGCCACUGCCAACAUUGCGGGUAUCCCCUUUGGGCGUGGUCCCUAAGAAGGCGCCGGGAGAGUAUAGGCUUAUCCACCACCUGUCCUACCCAAGGGGCGACUCGGUUAACGAUGGGAUACCGGCGGACCUUUGCUCAGUACGGUAUACAUCGUUUGAUGAGGCUGUGGCCAUGAUCAGGGGCUGCGGGCCUCGGGCACUGAUGGCGAAGUGUGACAUUGAAUCCGCCUUCCGCCUCCUGCCCGUGCACCCUGAUGACUUUGACCUUUUGGGCUUCGCAUUUAAAGGGGGAUUUUACAUCGACAGAGCCCUCCCCAUGGGAUGCUCGGUCUCCUGUGCGGCCUUUGAGGCUUUCAGCUCUAUGCUGGAAUGGGCACUGCGCCAGAGGGCGGGGCUACGCUCCUCCGCUCACUUUUUAGAUGACUUUAUUUUCGGAGGAAGGGAGGGCUCUGGCCAAUGCCUACACUUACUGCGCUCAUUCAGGGCACUCUGCGGGGAUCUGGGGGUGCCACUGGCUAAGGACAAGACAGAGGGCCCGACCACGAAGCUUACAUUUCUGGGGAUAGAGCUGGACACGGUGGGACAGCUCUCACGCCUCCCCGGGGACAAGCUCGGCAUCAUGAGGGAAUUGCUCAGGGAAUGCAGAGAGGCUAGGAAGGUAACGCUACGCAAAUUGCAAUCGCUGGUUGGCCACCUGAACUUCGCUUGCAGGGUGGUGGCUCCAGGCCGCCCCUUUCUAAGGCGCCUGUGUGACCAUGGUGGGGUGUAAUCGACCCCAUUUCCUCAUUAGGGUGUCUACCGCCAUGAGGGAGGAUAUGGGGCUCUGGCUCAGGUUCCUGGAGUCCUUUAAUGGGGUGUCAUUCUGGCGUUCUUCCCAGCUGCUCGAGGCCGACUUCCAGGUUCAGUCAGACGCCGCGGGCGGCCUUGGGUUCGGCCUGUACCUGAGAGGGCGCUGGUGCGCGGAACGAUGGCCGGGCAGCUGGUCGGAACGGGGAAUCACAAGGGAUCUCACCUUCCUCGAACUCUUCCCCAUUGUGGUGGCGGUGCACAUUUGGGCCGAGUCCUUCAAGGACUCGGUCGUGCGUUUCUGGUGCGAUAAUUUGGCCGUGGUUCAGAUUAUUAAUAGCCAGACUUCCAAAUCACAGAGGGUGAUGGGGCUGGUGCGGGCCCUGGUUCUAACAUGCCUUCGCCAUAACACGCUCUUCACCGCCCAGCAUGUUCCAGGGGUGCAGAACGAGGUGGCAGAUGCCCUGUCUCGCUUCCAGAUGCAGCGCUUCCGGAAGCUGGCACCUGGAGCCGCCAAGGAGCCCGAGCAGGGCCUCAGUCGGCUGGGCCGAGGGCGGCCGGGCAGCGCGCAAGAGUCCUCAUACUGGGCCAUUCCUUCAUUUUCUGGGCACGCAAGUGGGCGCAGAGCGCCGACCCUGGAACCCAGCUUGGUUUGGGGCGUUGGGCCACUGUGGAGUGGCUUGGCUGGCGGGGCAUGCGGAGGGCCCAGUUCCUGCCGAUGCUGCACGAGUUCCUGGAAGGGAAUCCUGUCCCGGAUGUCCUGCUGCUGCAUUUUGGAGGCAACGACCUGGUGGACCAGUCUGGCAUUUCGCUCUCAAGACAGAUUGCCCAGGACCUGGUGGUCGCCCUCUCCUGGUGCCCGGGGCUGGUGGUCAUCUGGUCUGACAUCACUCAGCGGCGAGUCUGGAGGGGGGCGGUGAAGCAGAACAAGGUAGAUAGGGCUAGGCGCGGGGUGAACGCGGCCAUGGCACGCUUCAUCGCCUCAAAGGGGGGUGGGUGCAUCCCACACAACGACAUCGCGUUCUCGCUCCCCCAGUUAUUCAGGGGUGAUGGGGUGCACUUGUCCCCCCUCGGUAUGAGGUAUUUCUUAGACGAUCUGCGGCUGGGGUUGGCAACAGUGCUGUUAGGCCUGUGGGGUGGCGGGGCGUCAAGCUAGGCUGACGCCCGCUGUGGCGGGCACAGUGCGGAGGUGAGCGGCUGAUGCGGUGCGGCACCUUAGGUAAGCUUUAGCUGUAAGGUGGAGGGGCAGAUCCCUUGAGGCUUUACAGAUCAGGGAUGCUGCCUUGCUCCCACCUCCCUGCAACCGACACCCUUCCGUAUGGCUUUACAGCGUCGGACAGGUGAUGUAAAUUGCAGGGUCCUGACCUUAGGUCGGCAACGAAGGGCGCCCCCUUCUGGAAGGUGGGCCGCCUGGAGCCGAGGUGUCUGUGCCAUGAGAUUCUAGGGCGGGGGUGGCCACGUGGUGCCCCCCCCAUCCGAGCCCGCACUGUUGCUGCUCUGAAUGCCAACCCCAGCUGCCGUGCCUGUGCAGGCACUGUCUUAAAACCUUGUACCCCUAAUAAAGUGACCAGUUCCUCCAUAAUA
This is an RNA transcript of Hemicordylus capensis (graceful crag lizard), 5746 nucleotides long. RefSeq lists it as uncharacterized. The record is from RefSeq and is a predicted model, not a curated record. The transcript has 2 exons. NCBI's taxonomy places the organism in Eukaryota, Metazoa, Chordata, Lepidosauria, Squamata, Cordylidae.